AUACCACAGACUCCACCACUGCCUCCACCAAUGCGAGUCCUUACUACCCUCCCUCCGACCCCCGCAACUGGCAGCCAGCCCUCCCACCACUCAGUGUGGUGAAUAUCAGUAUGAGGUUCAUCCAUGGCAGUGUGUAUGAUGAUGGUCGUUACCUUAGCACUUGUACCAGUAGCCUCUCAAGUCCUCUUUAACCUUCAUGUAAUGGCAGAUGCCAUGGAGGGCUGCACCUUGGCAAGAAACACCCCUGACGUAAAUACUGUCAAUGCUUUUCUGGCAGAAACAUCCAAGUCAGAAUGCAUGGGUGGUCCUAUGAGGAACAAGAAGUUGAGUGUCCUUCCUAGGCAUCAUGUGGUACCUUCUGAGACUCCUGUGGGCGUGAAACACAACAUUCCCCCCUCCCCCCGAUUCACCAGGAACUACAAGACAUCCUGGUAGUGAUGACUUGGAAGGUUGGAGGGACAUAUCAAUGGUGAUAGUAGUUUGUUUUCUCUGAGUGUAUGCCAGGAGUAGAGCAAUAGUACUCCAGGGAAUGCACACUCAGGAAGGCUUGCCCCAGGUACUUCUUCCCUCCAGGUGCCCCUGGCACUUCUUCCCUCCUGGUGCCCCUGGCACCUUUUUGUCACCAUUUAUCCCACAAUUGGUUUCAGUGAUACCAAUGAUAACUUCACUCUUGUUCAGUAUCACACAACUCUGGCACCUGAAGGUGAUGAGAUUGCAGAAGAGGCUGUUGUGUCUUCUGUGGCACUCAUGCCUGACAUAUUGGGCCUUUUGCUGGUCCUGCUAACAAUCCUGUGAGACCUUCUGUUGGGCCUCUUGCUGGUCCUGCUAACAAUCCUGAGGGACCUUCUGUUGGACCUCCUGCUGGACCUCCUGCUGGUUCUGCUAACAAUCCUGUUGGACCAUACACAGCACAGCACCAACAACUUCAGUCUACUUAAGAGGCUCAACUCUGGAAAUGUUGGUUAUGUCAGAGUUCAGCUCAGAGGAUCACCUCAGGGUAAAUAUAAUGGUUUUCAUACAAGCUGGAGAACAUUCACUAUUACAUUAAGGCUAAGAAAAAUUACUUGUAUAAGUAUCGUUUUAUGUUGUUAAUAAUUGCAGUUUAAGAGGAUUAAUGCGACUCAUAUUGUGUUGAAGUUGUAUUGCUUAUUCAGAUUAAUUUUAAAUGUUAUUUUUUACAAAUUGAUGUUUUAAAUGUU
Cherax quadricarinatus is the source of this 1199-nucleotide non-coding RNA. The record is from RefSeq and is a predicted model, not a curated record. Lineage: Eukaryota; Metazoa; Arthropoda; Malacostraca; Decapoda; Parastacidae.